AGUCUGCGACUCGACUACAUGAAGCUGGAAUCGCUGUAAUCGCGAAUCAGAAUGUCGCGGUGAAUACGUUCCCGGGUCUUGUACACACCGCCCGUCACACCAUGGGAGUUGGGAAUGCCCGAAGCCGGUGACCUAACCGAAAGGGAGGAGCCGUCGAAGGCAGGCUUGAUAACUGGGGUGAAGUCGUAACAAGGUAUC
This 198-nucleotide ribosomal RNA is filed under the name uncultured bacterium. Its description in RNAcentral is "partial 16S ribosomal RNA". It matches the Rfam family "Bacterial small subunit ribosomal RNA", at positions 1302 to 1500 of the family's 1533-position model. The record is from RNAcentral.